RNAcentral lists this transfer RNA (70 nucleotides) under Cryptocercus shangmengensis. RNAcentral describes it as "tRNA-Lys". The record is from RNAcentral. Lineage: Eukaryota; Metazoa; Arthropoda; Insecta; Blattodea; Cryptocercidae.
CAUCAGAUGACUGAAAGCAAGUAAUGGUCUCUUAAACCACUUCAUAGUAAAUAGCAACUACUUCUGAUGA